This 464-nucleotide ribosomal RNA is filed under the name uncultured bacterium. RNAcentral's name for it is "partial 16S ribosomal RNA". It matches the Rfam family "Bacterial small subunit ribosomal RNA", at positions 339 to 795 of the family's 1533-position model. The record is from RNAcentral.
CUACGGGGCGCACCAGUGGGGAAUAUUGCACAAUGGGCGCAAGCCUGAUGCACCCAUGCCGCGUGUAUGAAGAAGGCCUUCGGGUUGUUAAAUACUUUCAGCGGGGAGGAAGGGAGUAAAGUUAAUACCUUUGCUCAUUGACGUUACCCGCAGAAGAAGCACCGGCUAACUCCGUGCCAGCAGCCGCGGUAAUACGGAGGGAGCAAGCGUUAAUCGGAAUUACUGGGCGUAAAGCGCACGCAGGCGGUUUGUUAAGUCAGAUGUGAAAUCCCCGGGCUCAACCUGGGAACUGCAUCUGAUACUGGCAAGCUCGAGUCUCGUAGAGGGGGGUAGAAUUCCAGGUGUAGCGGUGAAAUGCGUAGAGAUCUGGAGGAAUACCGGUGGCGAAGGCGGCCCCCUGGACGAAGACUGACACUCAGGUGCGAAAGCGUGGGGAGCAAACAGGAUUAGAUACCCCGGUAGUC